Cyprinus carpio carpio is the source of this 3093-nucleotide long non-coding RNA. The record is from Ensembl. Lineage: Eukaryota; Metazoa; Chordata; Actinopteri; Cypriniformes; Cyprinidae.
AUGCCUCAGCUGAGCGCGGGAUAUGUGUGGAGCUGCUGGGAGUGGAGCAGGACUCAGGGCCGAGGAGGAGAGCAUGGAGCAGUGGAGGAGAAACAGAUGAUCAGCCGAGAGCUGGAGGAGAGAGGUGGGCGAGAGUGGACAUGGAUGAGACUGCAUUGGAGAAACUGGCCGAGAUGGAGUCCGUGUCUGGCUCUGAUGUGCUUGGUUCUUCUGGAGGAGUCUCCUCUGCACCCCUCUGUCAGUCUGACUGAAGCCGCGGGUCGACUGCUCCUCGCUGGGCUGCUGUGUGCUGCCAUGGGCCUCUAUGCUCUAGCUUUCCAGUUCCCGCUCCGUUAUGAACAGAAAGUAAAGCAGCAUCUCCCAUGCAAUGGUGAAGUGAUAGUGAGACAAACUGCUGAAAACCAGCAAGCCAGCAUAAGUCCACAGCAGGACGCAGGUCAUCUUGAAUCCCAGGUCAGUGCUCUAGCGGAGGGUUUAGCGGUGUCCCUCCUGCAAGAGCCCCUGCCGGACCCCAGCGAGCCACACAUACGAGGCCUCCUCACCAGACUAGAGGCAGUGUCUCGGACUCUCCACAGGAAGAGUUAUGAGGAAGAAACCGAGGAAAAGGAGAAAUGUGCUAUUCAAGAUAUACGCUCUUACCUGAGGGACAGGGUGAGCGGUCUGCGCUCUCUGCUGCAGGUUCAGCGUGAGUGUGACGCGAGUGUGUGUGCGGUUCAGAGCGGGUUACAGAAGCGCUGGGCUCUGCUGGAGGAGUUACACACACGAGUGACUCUGAGGCCUGACAGCACCCAGGAAGCACACGACCCUCACACCGUCCUCACAGACACUGAGAGCCUGUUCAGUGAGCUCGGUCAGUUCAAAAGCAAAGUCCAACAGUGCCGAACACAGCUGGAAACCAAUAUAAACCUUUUACAGGGACUUCGCAGCAGUCAUCAGCAUCUCAACACGACUUUUGGUGCCACCACUGACUCUGUAUGGACCAAAGAGUUAUUACAGUCCAACACUGAUCUGUUUUCUGAGAUCCAUGAGGAUUUCAUGUCUUUGGAACAGCAGACGUCAAAUUUUGUGAUCCACUUGAGAGGCCUGAAGGCUUCUGAGGAGGAAAAGACAAAGUUAUCUGUGAAUCAGUCUCGACUGUCUCUUCCCGCUGUCCCUGUGUACGUUGCUGCUCAGGAAGCAUCGCAAAUACAUUCUGACCCAGAAAGUGACUCGGAGUCCCCAGGAGCCUCACAGAAGACCCACUCCAGAAUGUCGCCCUUCCAUAUGCUCUGUGGGGCGAGGAGGAGGAGGUCAUCGCCGUAGUUUUGACAAAAGUUGGAUGUUUUAACAGGACAUUUUAUUAAUGCCCGCCUGUUGAGCAGGUGUAACGGCAGUUUAUGCACUUUAUUCAGAGUUAUAAUAACUGGAACCGCUAUAUAGUGUCUAUACUGUGACUUGUGAUUUUCUACAUGUGAAAUGUGUAAAUAAGAUCUCAUGCAUAAUGAAUACAACAACAAUAAUAAUAUAUUACAUUAAAUAUAGUAUUGAUGGUUUUUAUUGAAAUGAAUAUUAGUAAUAUAUAAUAGAAUAAUAGAAAAGUUUGCUGUCAGAAGAUUUAUUUGAAAAUAAUGUAAAAACAGUAAUAUUGUAAAAUAUUACUUUUUAGAAGUAUAUUUUUUUUCAGUCACAUGAUCCUUCAGAAAUCAUUCUAACCUGCUGAUAUUGUGUUAUAAAAACACUAUCUUAUUAUUAUAUCAUCAAAAAUAAUAAUACUAGUAACUCUAGUCAAUAGUCAAUCACCUCAUAUGAUGAAAUCCUUGUAUUGUGACUGUGCUGUGACUUGUGAUGUUCUGCUUGUAAACUGUGUAAAUAAGAUCUUUCCUGAAUCUUAAUCAUCUUAAGCGCACAUUAAACGGACAAUUAACUGAAACAAACAGUAAAUACGGUAGUAGCCAUGGAGAGGUUUUUGUCUCUAUGGUCAUGCCAUGUUUGAGCACAAGAGGGCACAAUCCAAUCAAAAAUAAACAGCCAACUCCUUCACCAGAGCUAACUCACAGCUGCCAUACUUACACGAAACACUACAAGGUUUGUAGGCUACUUGUAUGUGCAUAAUAUCAUACAAACCAUUUUACGUGUAGGCCUACUGACGUGUAGAAACAUCACAUUGCCUUUAAAUUAGGAUAGUUUACAUUGAAAAACCAAUUCAACCGCUGUAAGUGCAAUCUUUGACACAUUUGUACAACUGAAAAGUAGAAAGAAAUAAUUAGGAUAAUAAGGAUGUUGUGCAUUUACACCUUUAGUAUUCUGGUUUCGACAUAGGCUACAGUGGAUUUGAACGAAUUAUACAAUAUUUUGUUCCCAUAAACAUUUAGGGUGGAUAUGCAAACUUCUUAGAGGACCAAAAGCCAUUCUCCACGGUCUGUUCUCCAUAUAUCUAUAUUUCAGCCAGAUACAGAUUUUACAGUUUUUUUUCUUCUUAGCAGUCACUCAUAGCAGUGAGGCCAAACUUUUCCACCAAAUCAUCUUUAUAGUGGGAAAAAUCUGCUCGGUUGCUGUACAGCACAGCCUGAAAGUGUAUUUCAAAAAGAGAUGAGUGUUCUUAUGAGAGCAAAGGUGCUCCUUCAUUCUCUACUAGCCUUUGUGGAUUUAGUAGGAAUUUUCAUUUGAUGUGAGGGUCUAUGUUUUUAAAAUUUGAUUUUGGAGUCUACUUCUCUCUUAUAUACACAGAAUAAAAUAAUUAUUAUUAGAUACUUAUGUUUUGUGAGGAAAACGCAAGUGGUGCUUGCCUGUAUGAAAAACCUUUGGCUUUUAUUUUAUAAAUAUUCAUAUUAUAUUAAAGUAGGCUUUUUUUGGUGUUUGUUUUUAAUGCGUUACUAUGUGGUUGUCAGUGUGUUUUGCUAAGUAUUUGCUUGUUGUCCCUGGAUACAGUAUGGCUUGAGUCCCUCAUAUGGGAUUUUGUUUUUUAUUUUUUAUCCAGCUGGCAACAACUGAUCACUUUUUUGUCAUUCCUUCAGAAUGCUGCAGGGUUUUAUGCAUCAUUCAUGUCUGUAGCACAAACAUUGUGAAACAAGUUACUCUACUGUUCAAAGGUUUUAGGGCAUUUUUUGACAGAAC